GACGAACGCUGGCGGCGUGCUUAACACAUGCAAGUCGAACGGUGAAGCGCCUUCCUUUUUGGUGGGUGUGGAUGAGUGGCGAACGGGUGAGUAACACGUGAGUAACCUGCCCCCUUCUUCUGGAUAACCGCAUGAAAGUGUGGCUAAUACGGGAUAUUCUGGGUCUGUCGCAUGAUGGGUCUGGGAAAGAUAUUGUUUCGGUGGGGGAUGGGCUCGCGGCCUAUCAGCCUGUUGGUGGGGUGAUGGCCCACCAAGGCGGUGACGGGUAGCCGGCCUGAGAGGGUGGACGGUCACACUGGGACUGAGACACGGCCCAGACUCCUACGGGAGGCAGCAGUGGGGAAUAUUGCACAAUGGGCGCAAGCCUGAUGCAGCGACGCCGCGUGAGGGAUGGAGGCCUUCGGGUUGUGAACCUCUUUCGCCAGUGAAGCAGGCCUGCCUCGUUUGUGGGUGGGUUGACGGUAGCUGGAUAAGAAGCGCCGGCUAACUACGUG
This 494-nucleotide ribosomal RNA is filed under the name uncultured bacterium. RNAcentral describes it as "partial 16S ribosomal RNA". It matches the Rfam family "Bacterial small subunit ribosomal RNA", at positions 28 to 507 of the family's 1533-position model. The record is from RNAcentral.